GACGAACGCUGGCGGCGUGCUUAACACAUGCAAGUCGAACGGAGAGGCCCUACUUUUUGCGCGUGCUCAAGUGGCUAACAGAUGGGUAAGUCAUGAGUAACCAACCCGCGCCUUUGGUGUAGCUACAAGAAGGUAGGGAUAGUAAAUAAUCGAAACACCUGGUUCUUGCAUGAGAUCGAAAAGAUACGGGGGUUGGGGAUGGACUCGCGGCUGCUCCGCGGGUUGGUGGGGGAGUGGCUUGCCAGGGCUUUGACGGGUAGCCGGCCUGAGAGGGUGACCGGCCACAGUGGGACUGAGAUACGGCCCAUACUGCUACGGGAGGCAGCAGUGGGGAAUAUUGCACAAUGGGCGGAAGCCUGAUGCAGCAACGCCGCGUGCGGGAUGACGGCCUUCGGGUUGGAAACCGCUUUCGCCUGUGACGAAGCGUGAGUGACGGUAAUGGGUAAAGAAGCACCGGCUAACUACGUG
This 468-nucleotide ribosomal RNA is filed under the name uncultured bacterium. Its description in RNAcentral is "partial 16S ribosomal RNA". It matches the Rfam family "Bacterial small subunit ribosomal RNA", at positions 28 to 507 of the family's 1533-position model. The record is from RNAcentral.